CUGGGAAUUCACAGGCACGUUCACAGCUGCUGAAAUCCUGCACGGUUGGUUCCAAAGCCACACUUCUUGCAUAACCAGAAAGGAAUUAACCAACUUGCCAAGGAAACUGCAUUCAAGGCUUUCUGCACAAAAUAACCGCGAUAGGAGUGCAGUGACUUGUAAAAGCAAGGCAAAAGAAACAGGCUUUGGAGAAAGACAAGAGCUUGAAGAGGUAAAAGCCGCUUGGCGGUGCUGAGAGGCGGGGUGUCAGCGGGAGGAGAGCAGAGGAGAGGGAGCUAAAGCAGCGAGCGCGGGUCAGAGCCUGCCGGGCGAUGCCCGGCUCAGAGCAUCCCGGAGCAGCAGCGCGGCGCAGCUCGGCGCGGCUCCGGGGCGCGCUCUGCCGUGCGCGGCGGGGAGCGGCAGCUGGAGCAGCGAAAGGAGCCCCUGGAAACGCUGGAAUGUGUUUAUUUGACCGCUGGGGCGUAAUGGGUGCAUGUUCUAGCUCUGCAUUAUCUUCAUUGCAACGAGAGUUUACCAAAAAUGAGCUUUAUCAGCUGAAAAUCCUUCACGGAGUUAUUCAGGAGGCUCCCUCUCUACAGACAAUAGUAAAAAAAUCUGUAAUGUGCUUUUGCUUCAGUAUGUGCAAACACAGGUACACCCACUGUGUUCAUUAGUUGGAAGUGUAACAACUGUAGUCAUUCUGCCCUCUUUCACAUUUAGGAUCCUGGAAGUUUCAUGGAAAAGUUCUAAGGAUGUUUCUGACACUUUCAAGGGGUUUUUUUCAAUAUUGUUCUAGUAAUUAAUGGGAGUAAGGAACCUACUGUUAUGUUGGGGAAUUGUUCCAUGGCCUGAUAUUUCCUGCUUUUUAUAAAUCAUGAUUUCCCUUUCCAGUGCUUUUGUCUUGCUGUUGUUACUAGGUACAGACCUAACACCUGGACCCUGCUGUGUCUGCCACUGGCUAUGUCUUCAAGGAAGUGCAAAGCUCAUUAGUUUGUUUUCCAACCUCAGAUGUGCUCAAUAUGCUCCCACACCGUGUAAGCAUCCAGCACUGAGCCUGUCCAGUCAGCAAGACAUCCUACUCCUACAGUGUGCUCUACUUAAUCCAACCAAUCAAUACUGACAACACUGAGAAUCAGGAAAGAAAUGUCAGUUUGCUACUGUUGGAACAGAACAUCAGUUUCCAGCUGAGUUUCCUUGAAGCCUUUGUGUGGCCUCUGGGUAUCUUUGACAGUUCCAGAAACUUUUGGGAGGACAUAAUUUCCUCUUGGCUUUCCCAUCAAGGUUCUUCAGCUAAGGACUUAACAAUCAUCAGGCUAAGAGCAUCUCCAAAUAGCAGUUAAUUAUCCUACACAACAUCCUUCCAGGUUGGUAAGUGUUCUGCCAUUUUACAGAUAAAGAUAAUUAUAAAAAUACUGACUGGGAAUAAUAAAAUAUAAAAAUUUCUGACUGGGAAUCAUAAACAAUUGCAUAAAGAACAUUAUUCCUCCACUUGUCAUAAAGCACCUGUAUAGAAUUUAUGAAUUAUUAGAAUUUAUGAAAGCACCUUUAUAGAAUGUAUUUACUGUGUUACUCAGCCCAGCAGGAAUGGGUACCUUUACAGGAGAAGCUACCAGGUGAUAUCCAGUCAUCAAACUCAACUUAAAUCACUCAGAGUAGAUGGUAACAUGUCAGUGACCCAUGCAGAAAUGUCACUGCUGGCUUCAGUAACUUAACAAGAUAAUGUUUAUAUAUUUAUAGUUUGGGGAUGACUUCAUGCAUGUAAACAGGGAUGUUUUGCUUCCAAAUCAGUUUCAGGUACAAUGUUGCCUUAAAACAUGAUCUGAUAAUCAAGCUAUGAAAACCUAGAGGCAUGAGUAGCUUAACAACAUCUUCACCUAAUUAGAAAUUAGAAUUUUAUGACCACAUAGACAAUGAGGGAAAUACAGUCUUACUCAGCACUCUGUGAUUAAAUUGAUUGACUGGAAUGGACAUUUAGAAGCCUUGUUAUGGAAUGUAUUUAUCUUGACAACCAUAGCGGAAGAGCAGUUGUUGUGCACUGAAAGAAGUUGCUCCAAGUCAUUUCAGCCAUUGGUUCAUGUCCAGCAACACUUCCAAGAUGGAGCUUCUUGAUUAUUUUAGCAUGAAUGCUUGAGAAACAAUUGGAUGCUUUGGGAAUGAGGCUGGGUGAUGAUUUACAUAGGAAUGGUCAAUAAACACCUUCUACCCGUCAAGAGCAUGUGAAGCUUGUGCAAUGAUCCUCUCAAACUUCUGACCCAGGAUAACCCAUGUUAUCUGUCCAUCCCAUUUGAGUGUUGUAAGAACAGCUGUAUGUCUUUAUAUAUUCUGGUAUCACAGUAAUGGGAGCUGUAACUGCCUCAGCAAGACAGAUAAAAUAGCAGGGGACAGAGAUCAUCCCUGGCACCUCUCCUGGGUACCUCCUCUCUAUGGAUGAAUCAUUCUUUAUCCAGGUAGAUUUUAUGUGUGUCCUUUCUCAUGACUACAUAUGUGGCUGGAUUGGCAGGCCAUGGUAAUAUACUGGUUAUUUUGCUAAUUUGUUGCAUAAAAGAUAAUACAAUUAGAGGUUCCAUACAGUGGCCAGGAUAUUUGCAGAAAAUAAAUGAGAAAAUAAAUGUUUCUCAGGUGUCUUAGAAUGGAGCAAUAUGUGAAACAGGGUAGCCCAAUUUUUUUCUGAAUCACUGCCUGUUUUACAGUUAACUUUUUAUGUGUUCCUUCUUUGCUAUUUUUUAAUUGAACACGAGGAAUCCCUGAUUAAAAAUAAGUCUGUGGAGUGAUGUUUACAUGUACCUGUCACUUAAAACAAUGCAAUUGGGAUGUCGUAGAUGACAGCCACUUCUGGAAUAACCAGUAUAAAGAACACUUAAAAAAUUAAGAUAUGAAGGUCAGAAGAUGAUACACAAACACUUCAUCACAUUUCCCAGAUUUUUUCUGUACUCAUAGAUCCUUUAGUUUGUAAAGGGGUUUAACCGAGCAUAUACAGGUUUAACUGAGCAUACAGAGAUAAAAUGGCAGUUUGCCAACAGUAGGCAAGGAAAGAAGCCAUCCUAUAUGGCAGAACACCGAUUUCCAAACUGUAGGUGGUAGAAAGCACUUUGGAAACCUAUUUCAUUAAAGAAAGAAUGAUGUUCCUGUCAAACACAAUUACAGUGUUCUCAAGCAUGGCUGAAUUGGAUGUACCUUGUAGCAAUACUUCAGGAAAACACCUUAAUCAAAAAAAGAAUGCUUUGGUGAUUAAUCCCAUUGACAUUACUGUUGCCUAAAGGGUUCUGAAUGUAUUUAUUUCAGCAUUUCCAAGUGACUGUGUUUGGAGAGAUGGAAGACUAAAACAGGAUACUUGACAGGGCAAAUAAAAUGAUUGGGUGGUUUAGAAGAAAAGUUGGAUGGGUAGAUUUUAUCAGGCUGUGGAAAAGGUAAACCCCAAAAUUCUUUCAGCUCUCCUAUCCCCCUUAGUGCAGUCCAACCCUGUCUGCCUUAGUUAACCAGCAUUAUUAUUUUACUGCUGUUUAAAUAUAUUUGAUUCAAAAACAUCACCUCUUUAUCCAUUAUGAACACAGCAGUCAAGGAAGCAAGCAAUGCCACAGACUAAAAAACACCACCUGUGUCUUAUCAGAAGCCUGAUGGUGUUUUAAAUACUUGAGUGUUUUCUAAAGGUGUCGCCUAGUUAAACUGUGAUAAACUACUCAUCUUUCAAAUAGAAUUUCUGACCAUAUAGUUAUGUCUUGCCAUCCCUGUUCUUCUUGGCUGAUGAAAAUAAAAAAUCUACUUUGUUAUACUAGUGGAAAUCUGGAGUCAUCCCAAUCUCUACUGAUGUAAAAGGGACCAGAGUCUGUCCCAUAUAAUACUUUGUAUAGCACUUCAACUUCUGCACUGUGAAGUAUCUAAAGUGGGGCUUGGAAUGCUUCUUUCAUUAAAAAUGAAAUAUAUUUAUCAAGAAAUUGCAUUAACUUUAGAAAAUAUUCUGAAGGUAGUACAAAGAUAACAGAUACCAUUCCUUCAGUUUAGAACAGAAGUGUGGAUAGCCAUAACUGCCUGACUUUAGGCAUGCCCUGUAACCUAAGUUAACUCUGAGAUUAAAGUAUUGCCUGAAUUAACAAUUUUAAUUAAAGGACACUAAUAAACUUUGUGAACAAAAAAAAUUUAGUAUGUUCUACCCCUGUACUAAAUUUGAGGAAGUUGCAGUGCCCUGGUAUCAUGAAGACAUACUCACACAUCAAACUCUAAGUGUCUGAACAGUGAGUGAAAAAUGGGAUGACAGGAAGAGAGAGGCCCAAGUAACCUCAGUGCACAAAAGUAUCUGUUUGCUAAUGACCUGUUUGUUUUAGACCAAAAGUUUAUUAUUGCAGUCAGUAAAGAUAUGAGUUGAAUUGCACACACAUUUUCUGGCAGCGUUGGUCAAAGCUUGUAUUAACAGGUUUUGAAGGAUAAAAACUUCACAAUGAAAAUCCACUUUGUGGUAGACUAUUAAGGCUACCAGCAAAAGAACUACAGAGCAUCCCAGGAAAUGAAUUUAACACAAAAAC
Passer domesticus (house sparrow) is the source of this 4496-nucleotide long non-coding RNA. RefSeq lists it as uncharacterized. The record is from RefSeq and is a predicted model, not a curated record. Lineage: Eukaryota; Metazoa; Chordata; Aves; Passeriformes; Passeridae. The transcript has 4 exons.